Molecule: long non-coding RNA, 849 nt
Organism: Mastomys coucha (southern multimammate mouse)
Lineage: Eukaryota; Metazoa; Chordata; Mammalia; Rodentia; Muridae
Exons: 2
Source: RefSeq, a predicted model, not a curated record
UGUUAGUUAGUCACUUCCACAAUUUUUGGACUAAUUUUUCACUAGAAAUUUUGUAGGUCUGUCAGCAAUACAGUUCAAAGAUUCUGAUAUUGAGUUAGAGCUUGCAUUUCUUUUUAGUAGCCUGUAGAUAAUAUUCCAAACAAAUGAUUCUGAUAUGUCAGUAUGAGAUUCUCUUUUAGGCAUUUGUAAAGCUUCUUUGUUUUUAGUGAGUUGUGUAUGUGUUAUCAUUAGCAGUGAUAUUUUUGAAGCUUCCUCUUUGCAAGAAAUUGAAAAAUACAGAUAAACACAACCAAAUAUUAAGCAGACAGUGGAAGAAAGAAGGAAAGAGAGGGAGAGACAGAGAGAAGACAAGAGAGAAAGAACAUAUAAAAUACUCCUAUAAAUUGUAUGUCUCCCUAAAGUACCUCAACUCAGAAUUCAGGAAAAUUAUGGCAAAAUAGAAAGAAUUUCAAAGUCAAAAGACAUGGAUGAUACCAAGAGAACAAGGCUUACUAAGCUAAAUGAGGUUUCCAGAGCAACCCUCCUUCUCGGAGAAGCAGCUUACAGUCAACCUCUGGCAAAAGCCUGGGCUGGGCUGCUAACUAAACACAAACCAGGAGUAUUACUGGAAAAAAUUUUUGGGAAUACAUUUCUUAAGCUGUGUUUGACGCAGAAUGGCUGAGUAUACUUAGGAAAAUAGAGAAAAGAUUUGGGACCAAUCAGAAGAGAGUUCUCAAAAAUGACGAAGAAAGCAAAGCCUGUUGUUACCAUGGAGAUUUUUCCAUCAAAGCUCCUGUAUCUAUCUCCCUCCUCCCUUCCUGUUGCACCAAGAAUAAAAAUAAAGAUGAAAUAGAAGGAGGAAGACCAAAA